CCUGCCUAAGGCGUCAUGUCAGUGGUCAACAGUAUUUUGAAAUGAAUUGCACUGAACGUCCCACGGUUAUUGUACGUUUCACUACCUUAUUUUAAUGUCUAGUUAUAAAGCGUAUGGUUAUUGUAACUAUUCUUGGCCUUUAUAUAUGUAUGUAUUAAGCUGGUAAAUGCUUAAUUGUAUUUGCAGUUUUGAGAGGUUCUUUUAUUCAGUGGUCAAUCUCGGGUGGCAUUAAUGGUGGUUUGUUUUCUUGUGCCCAUGCAGUUACAGUCAGCAUGAAGCAAUUGCAUGGGAACCGACUGGCUGUCUUGGGCCUACACGUUGCUGAAAAGACAGUGAAGACGUCUGAGCCGACAGGUAGAAAACAAGCAGAUGGCUACAGCGAUCAGUGAAGAAAUGACUUCAUCUAUGAUGGCUCGCCAUAGGACAUUGGAAUGGAGCUACACAAAGGCAUCACCAGCCUCGCCUGUGCCCUGGAACAUUGGUUUGAAUAAGACUGUUCUUCAGUGUAGAAUGACCACAAGACUUGUCACCACAUACAAGGCAUAGUGCAAGCUAUAAAUAUUGUACAGGUGGCUAGAAUAAAUGACCCUCCAUGCA
This 597-nucleotide long non-coding RNA is filed under the name Dermacentor andersoni. RNAcentral's name for it is "uncharacterized LOC126517389". The record is from RNAcentral. Lineage: Eukaryota; Metazoa; Arthropoda; Arachnida; Ixodida; Ixodidae.